AACGAACGCUGGCGGCAGGCUUAACACAUGCAAGUCGAGCGCCCCGCAAGGGGAGCGGCAGACGGGUGAGUAACGCCUGGGAACGUACCCUUUUCUACGGAAUAACGCAUGGAAACGUGUGCUAAUACCGUAUGUGCCCUUCGGGGGAAAGAUUUAUCGGAAAAGGCUCGGCCCGCGGUGUAUUAGCUAGUUGGUGGGGUAAAGGCCUACCAAGGCGACGAUCCAUAGCUGGUCUGAGAGGAUGAUCAGCCACAUUGGGACUGAGCCACGGCCCAAACUCCUACGUGAGACAGCAGUGGGGAAUAUUGGACAAUGGGCGCAAGCCGGAUCCAGCCAUGCCGCGUGAGUGAUGAAGGCCCUAGGGUUGUAAAGCUCUUUCACCGGUGAAGAUAAUGACGGUAACCGGAGAAGAAGCCCCGGCUAACUUCGUGCCAGCCGCCGCGGUAA
RNAcentral lists this ribosomal RNA (447 nucleotides) under uncultured bacterium. Its description in RNAcentral is "partial 16S ribosomal RNA". It matches the Rfam family "Bacterial small subunit ribosomal RNA", at positions 29 to 523 of the family's 1533-position model. The record is from RNAcentral.